CACGUAGGGGCCAAGCGUUGUCCGGAUUUAUUGGGCGUAAAGAGCUCGUAGGCGGCUUGUCGCGUCGACUGUGAAAACCCGCGGCUCAACUGCGGGCCUGCAGCCGAUACGGGCAGGCUAGAGUUCGGUAGGGGAGACUGGAAUUCCUGGUGUAGCGGUGAAAUGCGCAGAUAUCAGGAAGAACACCCGUGGCGAAAGCGGCUCUCUGGAACGGUACUGACGCUGAGACGCGAAAGCGUGGGGAGCAAACAGG
Molecule: ribosomal RNA, 253 nt
Filed under: uncultured bacterium
Lineage: Bacteria
Description: partial 16S ribosomal RNA
Rfam family: Bacterial small subunit ribosomal RNA
Source: RNAcentral